This 2755-nucleotide long non-coding RNA is filed under the name Homo sapiens (human). Its description in RNAcentral is "HSALNT0221181". Lineage: Eukaryota; Metazoa; Chordata; Mammalia; Primates; Hominidae. The record is from RNAcentral.
UGAAAAAACAAAUAGACUUGAAAUAAUUUCAUAAACAACAAGAAAUAAUUUUAUAAAGCCUUUUAAAAUCAUGUAGAACAUAUUUUUAUAUGCCAUGUUAUACUUAGCACUAAAAUUGUUUCUCUGUCUCCUUGUUUUACAAGGUUUUCUUUUACUAAGUAAAUGAACCCAUCAGAUUUUUCCAUUAUUUGGUGGGGAAUCAAGGAAAAAAGGAGGUCGGGGAGCUUUUGGCGGGGUGAGAAGUAGGACAUUAACAGAAAACAAAUAAGUAAUCACUCUGCUAAGCUUUCCUAUAUUGACCUCUGUGCACAGAUGUUCCAUUAGUUAUCUUCCAUUUGACGCAAGAACGGUGCUUGCAAAUGAAACGUCAAUGAGCUUGUUAAGCAAACAGAAAACGGAACUUACCUGUAAUUAGAAGUUAACAAGAAGCUUUUGAAAAUGUAUUAGUUCACAAGGAAGUCAAGAAAAAGAGGAAAAUUAUUUAUGUGAUCCCUAAUAGUAAAAUAUAUCAAAACAAAGGUAAAUUAAAAAUAGAGGAAUUUUCUAAAUUAAACUCAGGGCUGUCAGAUUAGAAAGACAAUAUAAAUGUAAUACAAUCUCUUUUCCAUUAAUGCUUAAAACUUGUCCUAUACUGACCUGUAAAUUUGCCCCACUGAUGAAAUGGAAUCUGAAAAUCGGGAUACAGAUACUCUGGGAAGAACUUCACCAGAUCAGCUCCAAAAACAUAUGUACUAUUAACAGGGGAAAUAUUGUGAACUGCAGUCUUUAAUAGAUAACAUUAAUCAAAAACAUUCCUGUGGGUAAAUUAUGUAAACUACGUUUCUCACCAACAAAAGCCUCUAUAAAUUUCAGACUGAUCUGAUGACAAUUUAUUUUUAAAUGCGUAAUUAUAUCAAGAUUGCCACCAUAAAGGCCUGAAUACAAUCUCUGAGCCUAAGAUCUUCCCCAUCUUUACCUCCGUUUCACAUUUGAUUGUACAUAUAUUUGAGAGAGCGUCACUCAUUAUUUGUUUUGGGAGUAGGUCUAUAACAUUGCACGUUUAUUGAGGGUAAGAAUCAAAUCUUUUACAGCUUCUAGCAUGCCUCUGUGCACCCAACAGACCCUCAAUAAAUAAUUUGUUACCCUACUUUGUCAUAAAAUAUAGGACAUACUUAGCUGUGCAGCACAAUGUGAUUUGAUCACACCCAACCUAUGAGUGGAUAAUAACAGCACUGAAUCUGUUUAAAAACAACAUUUUCUAUUCCCUUUUCGUCUUCAUAGUAUAUUCGUUUGGUUUCUAGUCAUGUUGGUUCUAUCCAUAUGUUUUUAGAUAACAGUACAAACUAUGUUGUGCCUAAGUAAAAUUAUACCAAAAAUGUUUAUGGGGAAAAGCUAAUGCACUGCUCUUAAUUUUAAGAUUUUAGACAUUUGAAAAUAUAAAUUGAGAUAUUGGACAGUGAGAGUUUUAUUUUGGAGGCUGGAGGAAAUUGAAGUAUCGGGGUGAGAUUGAUAGGCUCCUUUGGCUAGUUGUAUAUGGGGUUGGGGAGAAUAUACAAGUUUACAAAAUCUUGUAAAUUCUUGCAGUGCUUAGUUUUGUGACUUUACAAAAACUGUCAUUAUUUUUUCCUAGCUCUCAGUGGAGAAAUGUAAGCUGUGAGUUUAACAUCAUGUUUAUUGUGCUUUGGCCAGGAUUUUGCAAGCUUUUGUGGAAAAAAUUAUUUUGCUUUCCUUAUCCUGUUUGUAACAUAUAUAUCAAUAUGCUUCUUUGUAUUUUACUAUAGUAAAUUGUAUCUCUCAUAUAGAGAAAUAAGUCAGAGUGAAUUAAAAGAAAUCUUUACUCUGAGGUGGAAGCGUUGUCUAAUGGACCAUAUGUUUAAGCCUUGUUAAUUAAUCACACGAGAGCCCAGCGCAGCGGUGUGCGCCUGUAAUCCCAGCCACUUGGAGGGCUGAGGCAGGAGGAUUGCUUUAACCUAGGAUUUCAAAACCAGCCUGGGCAACAUAAUGAGACCCCAUCUCAGUCAAUCAACCAAUCAAUCAAUUACACUAAAAAGAGCAAGAUCUUAAAACUGUUCUAACAAAUGUCUGGGUGUCUGAAACAAUGAAAAGAGUUUAUGACAGAGUUACAGCAGUCAUCAGCGAAAAACCCUGGACAAAUUGCAAAUGUGUACCAGUUGUGAAUUGCUGACUGCAAUUGAAAACCAAAGUUAUUUUUGUACAGUCUUUUUGGGUGUAUUUGUGUUUAGUAAUAACUUGUUUGCAAAUUUAGAGGACUCUCGCUUUGAUUUCUUAGAGACUUUGAACUUGAGGAGCUCACAGUUUAAUAGAAGAGAGAACUAGAAACCAAGAUUAAAUGCAGAGAGUGAGGUUCUGCAGUACAGGGUGUACACAGGGUGCAGAAGCACUAUGGCACCGUGUCUGGCCUCAUGUUCUACUGCUCUAGACUUCCUGAAGUGCCAUUUCCUGAACCGACCUUUUUUUCCCGCCCUCUGGACCUCUGUCUGUAGGUGCCAUUCUCUCUCCUUGCAAGCCUUUUCCAUACCUUAUGUGCCUGGUAAAUUCUAUUUCUUCAAAAUCUUCUUGAAGCCUGCCUCUACCUCAUCCAAAUAAUUGUUGUGUCUACUUCUCUGUUAUGUCCUUAUAAUUACAGUCAAUUCUCGUUAUUUGCAGUAGUUAUAUUCUGUAAAGUUGCCUAGAACACUGAAUUAAAGAAAUACUAAACCCUUGUUCCUAGGGAAAAUAUGCACAUAUACACAUAUCUCACAUAGGUUAUAAUCUU